This 301-nucleotide ribosomal RNA is filed under the name uncultured bacterium. Its description in RNAcentral is "partial 16S ribosomal RNA". It matches the Rfam family "Bacterial small subunit ribosomal RNA", at positions 509 to 809 of the family's 1533-position model. The record is from RNAcentral.
CAGUCGCCACGGGAAUACGUAGGUGGCAAGCGUUGUCCGGAAUUAUUGGGCGUAAAGGGCUCGCAGGCGGUUUCUUAAGUCUGAUGUGAAAGCCCCCGGCUCAACCGGGGAGGGUCAUUGGAAACUGGGAGACUUGAGUGCAGAAGAGGAGAGUGGAAUUCCACGUGUAGCGGUGAAAUGCGUAGAGAUGUGGAGGAACACCAGUGGCGAAGGCGACUCUCUGGUCUGUAACUGACGCUGAGGAGCGAAAGCGUGGGGAGCGAACAGGAUUAGAUACCCCAGUAGUCCCUGUCUCUUAUAA